GGAUGUGAGGGCGAUCUGGCUGUGACAUCUAUCUCCCCAAUGAUCUCCAGGGUUGAUUCGACUGAUCUGGCUGGCUAUGUGGGUGUCUCUCUCCUCCCUCACGGAUCCAGGUGCAUCCCUCCCUAAGCUGCGUGCUAGGUACAAGAGGAAGACCUUCCCCCUCAGAGGAGAAGACCUGCCGUACUAGUAGCUGCACUCCUUUGCUAAAACCUCUAAACAAGCUCUCAGAAACUCUGGCCAAAGAAGGACUCAAAAUCCUGACAAUCAGACCCCUACCGUAAGGACCUGGGCCAAAGUAUGGG
This is a non-coding RNA of Myotis lucifugus (little brown bat), 302 nucleotides long. NCBI's taxonomy places the organism in Eukaryota, Metazoa, Chordata, Mammalia, Chiroptera, Vespertilionidae. The record is from Rfam.